RNAcentral lists this ribosomal RNA (433 nucleotides) under uncultured bacterium. Its description in RNAcentral is "partial 16S ribosomal RNA". It matches the Rfam family "Bacterial small subunit ribosomal RNA", at positions 29 to 507 of the family's 1533-position model. The record is from RNAcentral.
AACGAACGCUGGCGGCAUGCCUAACACAUGCAAGUCGAACGAGACCUUCGGGUCUAGUGGUGCACGGGUGCGUAACGCGUGGGAACCUGCCCUUAGGUUCGGAAUAACUCCCCGAAAGGGGUGCUAAUACCGGAUAAUGUCUUCGGACCAAAGAUUUAUCGCCUUUGGAUGGGCCCGCGUUGGAUUAGCUAGUUGGUAGGGUAAAAGCCUACCAAGGCGACGAUCCAUAGCUGGUCUGAGAGGAUGAUCAGCCACACUGGGACUGAGACACGGCCCAGACUCCUACGGGAGGCAGCAGUGGGGAAUAUUGGACAAUGGGCGAAAGCCUGAUCCAGCAAUGCCGCGUGAGUGAUGAAGGCCUUAGGGUUGUAAAGCUCUUUUAACCGGGAUGAUAAUGACAGUACCGGGAGAAUAAGCUCCGGCUAACUCCGUG